UCGGACGCCCCGCAAGGGGAGUGGCGCAAGGGUGAGUAAGGCGAUGGUAACCAACCUCGCGGACGGGCAUAGCCGGGGGAAACCCCGGGUAAUUCCCGGCGACGCGGCGAACCGGCAUCGGUUUGCCGCCAAAGGCCUCGGCCGCCGCGAGACGGGCCGUCGUGGUAUUAGGUCGUUGGUGGGGUGACGGCCCACCAAGCCUGCGAUGCCUACCGGGUGUGAGAGCAUGGCCCGGCACACUGGGACUGAGACACUGCCCAGACUCCUACGGGAGGCUGCAGUCGAGAAUCUUCGGCAAUGGGCGCAAGCCUGACCGAGCGACGCCGCGUGGAGGACGAAGGCCUUCGGGUUGUAAACUCCUGUCGAGGGGGAGGAAGGCGCGGCAACGUGCUUGACCGAUCCCUGGAGGAAGCACGGGCUAAGUUCGUGCCAGCAGCCGCGGUAAGACGAACCGUGCGAACGUUAUUCGGAAUUACUGGGCUUAAAGCGCGUGUAGGCGGGCCGGCACGUCCGUCGCUGAAAGCCCCCGGCUCAACCGGGGAAGUGGCGUGGAUACGACCGGCCUCGAGGGGGGUAGGGGGACCUGGAACUUCCGGUGGAGCGGUGAAAUGCGUUGAGAUCGGAAGGAACGCCCGUGGCGAAAGCUAGGUCCUGGACCCUUUCUGACGCUGAGACGCGAAAGCCA
This 685-nucleotide ribosomal RNA is filed under the name uncultured Planctomycetia bacterium. RNAcentral's name for it is "bacterial SSU rRNA". It matches the Rfam family "Bacterial small subunit ribosomal RNA", at positions 62 to 762 of the family's 1533-position model. Lineage: Bacteria; Pseudomonadati; Planctomycetota; Planctomycetia. The record is from RNAcentral.